RNAcentral lists this ribosomal RNA (647 nucleotides) under uncultured Pseudomonas sp. RNAcentral describes it as "bacterial SSU rRNA". It matches the Rfam family "Bacterial small subunit ribosomal RNA", at positions 100 to 743 of the family's 1533-position model. Lineage: Bacteria; Pseudomonadati; Pseudomonadota; Gammaproteobacteria; Pseudomonadales; Pseudomonadaceae. The record is from RNAcentral.
GGACGGGUGAGUAAUGCCUAGGAAUCUGCCUGGUAGUGGGGGACAACGUCUCGAAAGGGACGCUAAUACCGCAUACGUCCUACGGGAGAAAGCAGGGGACCUUCGGGCCUUGCGCUAUCAGAUGAGCCUAGGUCGGAUUAGCUAGUUGGUGAGGUAAAGGCUCACCAAGGCGACGAUCCGUAACUGGUCUGAGAGGAUGAUCAGUCACACUGGAACUGAGACACGGUCCAGACUCCUACGGGAGGCAGCAGUGGGGAAUAUUGGACAAUGGGCGAAAGCCUGAUCCAGCCAUGCCGCGUGUGUGAAGAAGGUCUUCGGAUUGUAAAGCACUUUAAGUUGGGAGGAAGGGUUGUACGCUAAUACCGUGCAAUUUUGACGUUACCGACAGAAUAAGCACCGGCUAACUCUGUGCCAGCAGCCGCGGUAAUACAGAGGGUGCAAGCGUUAAUCGGAAUUACUGGGCGUAAAGCGCGCGUAGGUGGUUCGUUAAGUUGGAUGUGAAAUCCCCGGGCUCAACCUGGGAACUGCAUCCAAAACUGGCGAGCUAGAGUAUGGUAGAGGGUGGUGGAAUUUCCUGUGUAGCGGUGAAAUGCGUAGAUAUAGGAAGGAACACCAGUGGCGAAGGCGACCACCUGGACUGAUACUGA